AAAUGCACUGCAUAGCUGUUUUAGCGUUAACCUUUUAAGUUAAAAAUUGAGGGGAAUACCCUCUG
Molecule: transfer RNA, 65 nt
Filed under: Chlorocebus cynosuros (malbrouck)
Lineage: Eukaryota; Metazoa; Chordata; Mammalia; Primates; Cercopithecidae
Description: tRNA-Lys
Source: RNAcentral